This 649-nucleotide long non-coding RNA is filed under the name Anser brachyrhynchus (Pink-footed goose). Its description in RNAcentral is "lncRNA (ENSABRG00000006356.1)". The record is from RNAcentral. Lineage: Eukaryota; Metazoa; Chordata; Aves; Anseriformes; Anatidae.
CAAGGAACAAAUAGAGCAAAAUAUGCCCCCGCGCUUGCAAUAUGUAUUGCUCUUGCUCGAGAAUCUGUGGCUUAUGAACGUCGUUUCAUUUAACAGGGGAUGGGGCUCCAGCCCUAGGACGAGGAAACCAUAAAUAAUCUCUUUCAGCGUUAUCAGGACAUUUUCUUUGUGUUAAAAAAUAUCACGUCGUGGUCAGAAUAUCUAUACCUGUGUCGGCUGUGCAAUUACAAGGAGCGGUGGUGUUGCCUCAGGUCUGGAUGCGCCGAGGACGGACACGGGUGCCUUGCUGGCGACCAAGCUGCCUGCACAGAAAUGGGGCUGCCCGUAGCGGCAGUGCAGCGGAGCCUGACAGCCCGCCGGACUAUAAAUAGUAGGGGACGGGGAGAGGAGAGAGCUGCCAGACCUGGGUAAUCGGGGCGAGGUUCAGCCACCUUACAGCCAGCCUCCGAGGGACUUAAAGCCACAGCUCGGGCCGGAUCCUGCCGGAGAGCAGGGCUGCACCCAACGCCCGCCAUCCCUGCGGGCACCACCAUUGUCACACCUGAGUGGAAGUGCAUCCCCGCAAGGUUGGACCAAAAAAAAAAAAAAAAUAGUGCUCAUCCGUCCUUUGAUGUUCGGCGAUUUGAAAUAAAAGAGACCUGAGCAGGCA